This 497-nucleotide ribosomal RNA is filed under the name uncultured bacterium. RNAcentral's name for it is "partial 16S ribosomal RNA". It matches the Rfam family "Bacterial small subunit ribosomal RNA", at positions 28 to 507 of the family's 1533-position model. The record is from RNAcentral.
GAUGAACGCUGGCGGCGUGCCUAAUACAUGCAAGUCGAGCGAACAGACGAGGAGCUUGCUCCUCUGACGUUAGCGGCGGACGGGUGAGUAACACGUGGAUAACCUACCUAUAAGACUGGGAUAACUUCGGGAAACCGGAGCUAAUACCGGAUAAUAUAUUGAACCGCAUGGUUCAAUAGUGAAAGACGGUUUUGCUGUCACUUAUAGAUGGAUCCGCGCUGCAUUAGCUAGUUGGUAAGGUAACGGCUUACCAAGGCAACGAUGCGUAGCCGACCUGAGAGGGUGAUCGGCCACACUGGAACUGAGACACGGUCCAGACUCCUACGGGAGGCAGCAGUAGGGAAUCUUCCGCAAUGGGCGAAAGCAUGACGGAGCAACGCCGCGUGAGUGAUGAAGGUCUUCGGAUCGUAAAACUCUGUUAUUAGGGAAGAACAGAUGUGUAAGUAACUGUGCACGUCUUGACGGUACCUAAUCAGAAAGCCACGGCUAACUACGUG